This 491-nucleotide ribosomal RNA is filed under the name uncultured bacterium. RNAcentral describes it as "partial 16S ribosomal RNA". It matches the Rfam family "Bacterial small subunit ribosomal RNA", at positions 29 to 506 of the family's 1533-position model. The record is from RNAcentral.
AGUGAACGCUGGCGGUAGGCCUAACACAUGCAAGUCGAACGGCAGCACAGUAAGAGCUUGCUCUUACGGGUGGCGAGUGGCGGACGGGUGAGGAAUACAUCGGAAUCUACUUUUUCGUGGGGGAUAACGUAGGGAGACUUACGCUAAUACCGCAUACGACCUACGGGUGAAAGCAGGGGAUCUUCGGACCUUGCGCGAUUGAAUGAGCCGAUGUCGGAUUAGCUAGUUGGCGGGGUAAAGGCCCACCAAGGCGACGAUCCGUAGCUGGUCUGAGAGGAUGAUCAGCCACACUGGAACUGAGACACGGUCCAGACGCCUACGGGAGGCAGCAGUGGGGAAUAUUGGACAAUGGGCGCAAGCCUGAUCCAGCCAUACCGCGUGGGUGAAGAAGGCCUUCGGGUUGUAAAGCCCUUUUGUUGGGAAAGAAAAGCAGCAGGUUAAGACCCCGCUGUUCUGACGGUACCCAAAGAAUAAGCACCGGCUAACUUCGU